UGCGAGGGUAGCCAAGCCCGGCCAACGGCGGCGGACUCAAGAUCCGCUCCUGUAGAGGUCCAAGGGUUCAACUCCCUUCCCUCGCAU
RNAcentral lists this transfer RNA (87 nucleotides) under Haladaptatus sp. T7. Its description in RNAcentral is "tRNA-Leu". It matches the Rfam family "tRNA". From Rfam's summary of the family: Transfer RNA (tRNA) molecules are approximately 80 nucleotides in length. Their secondary structure includes four short double-helical elements and three loops (D, anti-codon, and T loops). The record is from RNAcentral. Lineage: Archaea; Methanobacteriati; Methanobacteriota; Halobacteria; Halobacteriales; Haladaptataceae.